CAGCAGCCGCGGGAAUACGAAGGGUGCAAGCGUUAAUCGGAAUUACUAGGCGUAAAGCGUGCGCAGGCGGCUUGACAAGUCUUGUGUGAAAUCUAUGGGCUCAACCCAUAGUCUGCACGGGAAACUGUCGGGCUUGAGAAUGGGAGAGGUGAGUGGAAUUUCCGGUGUAGCGGUGAAAUGCGUAGAUAUCGGAAGGAACACCUGUGGCGAAAGCGGCUCACUGGACCAUUUCUGACGCUGAUGCACGAAAGCUAGGGGAGCAAACAGGAUUAGAUACCCGCGUAGUCCCUGUCUCUUAUAC
RNAcentral lists this ribosomal RNA (301 nucleotides) under uncultured bacterium. Its description in RNAcentral is "partial 16S ribosomal RNA". It matches the Rfam family "Bacterial small subunit ribosomal RNA", at positions 509 to 807 of the family's 1533-position model. The record is from RNAcentral.